RNAcentral lists this ribosomal RNA (425 nucleotides) under uncultured bacterium. RNAcentral's name for it is "bacterial SSU rRNA". It matches the Rfam family "Bacterial small subunit ribosomal RNA", at positions 354 to 796 of the family's 1533-position model. The record is from RNAcentral.
GUAAGGAAUCUUCCACAAUGGACGAAAGUCUGAUGGAGCAACACCGCGUGCAGGAUGACGGCCUUCGGGUUGUAAACUGCUUUUAUAUGGGAAGAUUAUGACGGUACCAUAUGAAUAAGGACCGGCUAACUACGUGCCAGCAGCCGCGGUAAUACGUAGGGUCCAAGCGUUAUCCGGAAUCACUGGGCGUAAAGCGUGCGUAGGUGGCGUGUUAAGUGUGAUGUUAAAUCGUGGGGCUCAACCCUGUCGGUGCAUCACAUACUGGCAUGCUAGAGGACAGCAGAGGCAAGUGGAAUUUGUAGUGUAGCAGUGAAAUGCGUAGAUAUUACAAGGAACACCAAUGGCGAAGGCAGCUUGCUGGGCUACUCCUGACACUGAGGUACGAAAGCGUGGGGAGCGAACAGGAUUAGAUACCCUUGUAGUCC